UUAUAUACCCCGGUACUCGGGCAAGAUUUUCGAUUUUUUUAUUUACUCCUCUUAAAAGACUAAUAUUAAAAAUAUACUUUUAACGUUUCAAAUUAUUACGAAUAUAUCACUAGAAUUAAAUUAUAUUAUUAGUGAUCUGUUAGGAAUAACUGUUAUCUCUAUAAAAUUAUUAUUUUAUUCUUUUAAAUAUAUCUUUUAUCAUCACCAACUUUCUUAUUUAUCCUUAAAUCAGAGUAAAAGAUGCAUUUUAAUUUUUUUGAAAAAAAAUAUACUCUUCUAUUAUCACAAUUUUUUCUUAUCUGCCCCUAAGUUAGAGGCAAAAGAGAUAUUUAAUUUUUUUAACUCUGGUAUAAAUUUAACUCAGGUUUAAUCCGAGAUAACUUAACAGGUAUUAACAGCGGGAGUAUUAUUAAAUAACAGAGAAAUAUAUUAGAGGUAUACUGAAAAAGGAAUAUAUCAGAUAUUUCAGAAGUUUUGAGGGGCAUAAAGGUAAUUAUUCUAAAAAGUUAAUUAGGUUUAUUUCAAGAGCUAAUUUGUUAAAAUUGUUAAUUUAUCAAUAUCACUCAAUAUCACUCAAAUAAAAGUAAAAAAAAAAGGCAUUACAUAAAAUCUUACUGUCAAAAUAUGAUUUUUCACUUUCCCUCCCGGUUAUUUAGAAACCUACACUUUGUCCCCUUGUAAAAUAAAAAAUGUUUACUUUGUCCCCUACCGUUUGUAUCCAUGGUUUCGUUUAUAAAAUAUUAUUAUAUAUUUUUUAUGCUAAAAAUGCCCUCAGCCUUCUUUUCUGUGAACAUGAUGAGAGGCAAAAUGGUGAAAAAUGGUCAUUUUAUCAUCACAGUUCACAUCGUACUCUUGUGAAUAUUUUUUAUUUUAUAAGAAGGCAAAAUGUAGAUUUUAAAACGACAGGAAAAGUGAAAAAUCGAAUUUUGACAGGUGGGUUUUCUAUAAUUUAGCAAAAAAAAAAAGAAAAAUAUGAGGUUGAGGGCUCUAGUCCAAAAUGCCUAUAAGUAGGGGGUUUCCAUGCAAUUUUACCCCUAACUUUACUUAAUCGUACACUUUCCCCUUUUCUCCUGUCUCCGAAUAAAAGAGGGAGCUUUGCCCCGCGUCUCUCUCUCUCUCUCUCUUCGCGAUUCGAUGAUGGUGUCGCCUCACUCCCACUCCCCGCCGCCUCUCCCGCUCCCCUAAACCCCAACCCCAGCCGAGACCUCUCCCCGAUUCCGGUAAGAUUCGUACCAUAAUCCUCAAUUUUUGGUUUUGAUUCGUGUUGUGUCUGUGUGUCUGUGAUCCGAUCCGCGUUUUCGCGGCGAAAUUUGGUGAAUUGUGGGUUUGGGAUCCGAAUUUAGGGUUUUUUUUUUUCAAAAAAAAAGUUCGUGUAGCUUUUUGAUUUCGUGAUCUUGGGGUUUUGGAUGAGGUCGGGAGGGCGGGUUGGUUGUGGUGAUUGGUGCUGGGUGUAGGAUUAGGGUUUCUAGGGUUUCUGGCCUUUUAGGGUUUGUAGGGGGCCUUUUGGGGUUGACUUAUUGCAUGUGAGUGAUGAGAUAUGUUGAAGCUGGGGAGAAUGGAUCUAUUGAUCUUGUUGGUGUAUCUUGUGAUUUAGAGUGUAUUAGCUGCUAUUUUCGCUCUGUUUCAUAAUUAGGG
This 1635-nucleotide long non-coding RNA is filed under the name Ananas comosus (pineapple). Its description in RNAcentral is "long non-coding RNA (ACOM_LNC041067)". The record is from RNAcentral. Lineage: Eukaryota; Viridiplantae; Streptophyta; Magnoliopsida; Poales; Bromeliaceae.